Molecule: transfer RNA, 63 nt
Filed under: Aphrodita australis
Lineage: Eukaryota; Metazoa; Annelida; Polychaeta; Phyllodocida; Aphroditidae
Description: tRNA-Glu
Source: RNAcentral
GUACUAAUAGUAUAACUAAUACUCUAGAGUUUCAAUCUAUAAAUAUAUUUUAAUAUUUAGUAC